This 73-nucleotide transfer RNA is filed under the name Sus scrofa (pig). It matches the Rfam family "tRNA". From Rfam's summary of the family: Transfer RNA (tRNA) molecules are approximately 80 nucleotides in length. Their secondary structure includes four short double-helical elements and three loops (D, anti-codon, and T loops). The record is from Rfam by way of RNAcentral. Lineage: Eukaryota; Metazoa; Chordata; Mammalia; Artiodactyla; Suidae.
UCCCUGGUAGCCUAGUGGUUAAGGAUCCCGUGUUGUCACUGCUGUGGCUUGGGUUCGAUUCCUGGCCAGGGAA